Molecule: transfer RNA, 72 nt
Filed under: Minisyncoccota bacterium
Lineage: Bacteria; Bacillati; Minisyncoccota
Also listed under: 1 other name
Description: tRNA-Arg
Rfam family: tRNA
About the family: Transfer RNA (tRNA) molecules are approximately 80 nucleotides in length. Their secondary structure includes four short double-helical elements and three loops (D, anti-codon, and T loops).
Source: RNAcentral
GCUCUCGUAGUUUAAUGGAUAGAAUAUCUCCCUCCGAAGGAGGUGGUACAGGUUCGAUUCCUGUCGAGAGCA